UGAAUUCAAAUUUCAAAUUGAAGUUCUUAACUAAAAAUAAUUUAAUUAAAAUUUAAAAUUUAAAAUUUAAAUUUAAAUUCUAUAAUUCAAAUUUAAAUAAAAAUUAAAUUUAAAUAUAAAGUCAUAAAUUUGCAUUUAAAAUUUUAUAUUGAAUUUUAAUUAAUAAAUAAAAUUCAAAAUGUGAUCAUAAUUUUAAUUCAAAUUUAAAGUAAAAUUAAACUUUAAAAAUAAAUUUAAAUAUUAAAGUUAAGACCAAAUAUAACCUCUUAGCUAAGCUCUCCACUUUCGUUGACUUCCGAAUUUUUUGAGCUGAAGUCAAAAAAGUGAGAUUUAGUUAUAACUUACUUUAUUAGUCCACUUUCGUAAAGUGACUUUUAUAUUCACUUUCAUUAUCAAAACAACCAGUAAGACGUCACUUUUUAAAAGUAUCACUUUCUAAAAAUAUCACUUUUAAUACUACACUUUUGACGAACCAAACAUGCCCUUAAUAUUACUAGCUAUUUGGUCUUUUUUCAAUCACACAUCCUUAGAAAAUUGAUCACUUACCCAAUUAGAAUACCUCUAAGAUACAUGUAUAGAGAGAGUGCACACGCAAAACUAUUACGCUUUGAAAGUACAAUAGCCUCUAUACUUUCAAAUUAUUUUUGAUAAUAAGAAUACGGGAUAUUCAAUUCAAAUCGUUUCUAUUAAAUAUAAUUUACAUGUUGAAAUUAUAUAAAAGUUGAAUUUUAUAUUCAUUUUAUUUGGCUAGUAAACGAGUUGUCUCAAAAUAAACGAUUAAAAAUAAAAAUUUUAUAAAAAAAAUAGUGAUAAAUAAUAAAUUUUAAAUCAGCAGUAUUGAUCUUGUUUUUAAUAAUAAGUAUAAUUUUUUAUUAAAAUUCAAUCUAAUUUGAAUUAUUUUAUACCGUCAAAGUUACAAACGUGACACAUCCGUAAGUAAAAUAAUUAUUUUUAAGACUUUUUGAUCACUUGAGUAAAAAAAUUUGUUACCUUUUUUUUUCAUGAUAAAGG
This 1011-nucleotide long non-coding RNA is filed under the name Ananas comosus (pineapple). RNAcentral's name for it is "long non-coding RNA (ACOM_LNC004476)". Lineage: Eukaryota; Viridiplantae; Streptophyta; Magnoliopsida; Poales; Bromeliaceae. The record is from RNAcentral.